RNAcentral lists this long non-coding RNA (1732 nucleotides) under Anas platyrhynchos platyrhynchos (common mallard). RNAcentral describes it as "lncRNA (ENSAPLG00000016887.1)". The record is from RNAcentral. Lineage: Eukaryota; Metazoa; Chordata; Aves; Anseriformes; Anatidae.
CUUCAUUUAAGGGUCUGUUGCCUUUCUCCAGCUUUUAAAAAACAUUUUCCCUAAAGGCUGACAUUUAAAUCUCUAACACUUAAAUCACAAUUUAUUUAUUUUUUUUUCAUAUCCACAUUACAUGUUGUCAGAAGAGGUUCUGCUGUAAUACAAUGCAAUAUGCAAAUAUUAAGAGGCCAUUAUUAUCAUCUAUGUUAUGAAGAGCUGGUCAACCCUCUGCUACAAUCUUUUUUUUUUUUUUUUUUUUUGUACAUCACUAAAAAGAAUAGCCAAAAGCAAUAUUCCUUUAGUAUUCAAAAUGAUGUGAAGUUUAUUACAGAGAUCCUUUUAAAAUGAUUUUUGGGUAACAUUUGUAUUUCCUCCUUAUCACUAGAUGACAGCAACAAGAAUUUCACAUAUCAGAAAAUGUGUAUAAGGGAAUACCGAGACAUUUUGCUCUGACCAGAGAGAAACCCUCCUACAUCCAAUCAAAAGGAGAAGAAUAGAAAAUGGGGCAGUUGCAGCCCACGUCAUCAGCCCCUAACAAAAGCAGUACAAAAUUCAGUGCAAAUGAACACUAAGGUGAAUGAAAACCAAGAGGCUCACACAACCUGUUUACAAAUACGUCCUGUUUUUAUCUAUGAUUGCUUCACAGCGCUGCUGUGCUUCUCUGAUGUGCUGGACUUGAGUCACAGCCCUGAUAUAAGCAAUGCGUUACUUUCCCAACCAAAGAAAAUGUAAUUUAAGCAAGCUUGUCAACAGUAGGGCCCAGCAGGCAGGCGAAGCAAGGAAUCCAAGAGGGUCAGAUUUCUUGGUAUUUCUCUGCUAGCACAGAAGAUUAGAAGAUAACAUUUCUUGUUUGGAAGAAAUGAAUCAAAUCUGCAGCUUCAUCUUAGGAAGACAAUCCUCCCAGACUUUCUCCUGCUCCCACUUUCCCCUUCAAACCAAGUACUGGGUAAAUAGAUCCAUACUACCAACAGCAACGCACUGCAGUUCAGUCACUUUUACCAUGAGCUACCUAUUAAGUAUUUUUUCUCAAGACUUUCCAAGAUGCCACAAGUAAAUAAUUGAAGUAAAUGUCAAGCUGCCCUCCAACUUCCAAGAAAGGACCAGGGAUGAUUUCAAGGACAUUAAAAGGACUAUUACCUAAUUAUAUUUCAUAUGCACUUCUACAUAAUGUCUGAGUUAUGCAAGUGUGGGGGUAUUUAUCAAAAGAAAGUAUGAAUUUAGGUAUAACUUCACAUACAUUUUCUUCUCACUUUUUUUUUUUUCUUUUUUUUUCCUUCCUAGGAUAGUUCUGGAGCAUAAUAAUAUUUCUAUGUGUCAUGAUUGUUAUUACUUUUAAAAUACAUAAUCAAUGCUGAGAAAACAGAAAGAAAAAAAGAAAAGAAAGAAAGAAAGAAAGAAAGAAAGAAAGAAAGAAAGAAAGAAAAGAAAGAAAGAAAGAAAGAAAGAAAGAAAGAGAGAAAGAGAGAAAGAGAGAAAGAGAGAAAGAAAAAGAAAAGAGCCAAUAUAACUGUAACAGAAAGCAUAUGCAUCAAGGUAACAUAGUGUAGCCAUCUACCUCUGUAGAAUUUUAGCUCUAUGCUACUGAUUUAGAGGUAGAAGCACAAAUAUUUUAUUGUUUCUUUACAAGUGAUAUGGUAACCUCUUUUUGGAUAAAUACAGCCUUUGUUGCAUCUCAGUGAAAGGCACAGUGCUGACUACACAUCUUGAAGUUUCAUUUCAUUAAUAAAGAAAGGGGGGAGAGACA